Molecule: small RNA, 28 nt
Filed under: Bombyx mori (domestic silkworm)
Lineage: Eukaryota; Metazoa; Arthropoda; Insecta; Lepidoptera; Bombycidae
Description: ovarian small RNA-21283
Source: RNAcentral
UACUAGAAAGUUCUCUGCCGCAAAACAC